AAAGAUUGCUGAGCUUCACUCAGCCCACGGUCCACUUCUUUACAUCAACACAUGUUACUAUAACAUUCUAGUCCACAAGAGAGUGGGCGUUCUUUUAGAGUUCAUGUAUUUGAGGCAGCAGAUGAGGUAACCUACACAGAAUUGUACCUACCAAAUUUAAAGAGCAAAAACUCAAAGAAGAAAACUUCCUGAUGUAGGCUAUAAGGUUAAAAUAAUGCUCCUUUAUGGUUCUACUGGGAAAAGUAAACUUUUCAGUAAGAAAUCAACAGAGCCUGAGGAAAUGCAUUCAGCAGCUAGCUUCUCCAUUAAAUUCACCUUCUAUAUUUCUCAUUUUCCAUUAGCUGCUUACCUCACCCACAUCACAACUCAGAUAUGGAAUUAGAUCUCAGAGCAUGUGGCAAGAAUAAGGUGGGGAGGCAAGAGUAAUGCACCUUCAAAACGUCCAUGAAAAAUUCUCAGCUCCUCAGAUGACUUAAUUACUAUACUGAGCAAUUCCUGCCUGGUUACAAUGGUGUAUUUUAGAAAUUUUAGAUUUUGAAGAAUUGCCUAAACAUGAUAUCAAACUCAAUACUUCAGGAACUCAUUCUGACAAAAGAAAAAAAUAAAACCAAGACACAGAUAAAUUAAAUACUCUGUAUUAAAGUUCCCAAAUUCCAGAAAGGAAAUAUUAGUGUCUGAAAUACCUUUUCUGGUUAUGGUAUAUGUCCUUUAUGACAAGAUACUUAACAGAAGUGUUAUAGUGGCUGUGUGAAAUGUCCUAGGGAGAAUAACUUAGUAGUGCUGUUACCUUGAUAGAUAAAAGCCACAGCAAUCAAAUGAGAUUUUUGCUUAAAAAUAAUAUCUACUUACAAAAGACUAUUUUCUAAGUUAUGCAAAUGUUACUUGCUUUUUUUCCCCCCAGUAACCAACUAAAGCAAAGGCUGUACUUGAUAGCCAAGAACAAAACUGGCAUUUUCCCCCUGUUAAUCAAUGUCAACCCUACAAUCUUUCAGCACUGAGAACUAACAUACCUUCAUUUGUGUAAGCAGCACAUACAGAAAUAACCAAAGCAGAACUGAAGCAUGGGUAUUGCCAAGAAUUGGGGAAAAAGUUAGAAAGCAAAGAUGGGACGUGAGUCUUUGUUUUGCCUACCAAAAGAAAGGAGUCCUACUUCUUGGGUGGCAGUUGCUGUAGCAACCAAACCACUGCUAAAGGAGAUUCAGAGCAUUAAGACGGAGGUUGUGGAGAAGGGCAGAAGCCUGGGGGACUGAGCUCUGUAGCGGGACACUAGGAGCAGUGGUGGUCCCCCAACCCCCACCUGAUGAUGUUGAACAUCUGCUCAAAUUAGAGCUUGCGUCUUGACUAACGUCUGGCAAGAACCAUAAACUCCCAAGCCAAGUAUCAGAAAAGAGCUAAGUGGGGUGUGAGCAAGCCGUCUCACCGCAGAGACUUUAAAUGCUUCACUGAAAGGAAAUGCAGAGGCAACAGGGAAGCUGUGCCGUCUCGAAAGAAAUUUAGAUUUGUGCACAACUUGAAAAGGACAAAAUGAAAGUGUCCAGGGAUCAGUGUAACAGUGGUACAUCCAUGGUACCGUAUAUAGGGUAGCACACCUGGAUCCUGUUUUAUAGUAGGGGCUUAAAGUGAGAAUAUGUUUAAAAAACAAGAACCAAAACUGGCCUUGACUUUUGGCCCAGCACUCACAGGAAACAGCAAAGAAAAAGAAGAAAACUUUGCAAAUGCAAUUAAUUAACAAAGUCAUAUGUUUUAUUUCAAGAGUGAUCUUAGUAUUCCUAAGUUAAAUACAGCAUUAGAAGACCAGACCUAAGACCUUACCCAAACACACUAAAAUAAAACAUAAUAAACUGUGAGAGAAGUAUCUGCCCACUCUAUCCGCGAGCUUGGAGCAAAUGAGUUAGAAAAGUCAAAGCUGGAAGGUGGAGGAGAGAUCAAUGAUUUUAGCAACACUCACCCACUGUUGCUGACAAGUCAAAAGCUCAUAAGCCACAGAAGAUGGUGUUGCUUUGUUUUCAUGGUGGAAAACACAGCUCGAAGCUUGAAUUUGGUAAUGCAUACUACAGAAAAGCAGUGAAUGUAUGGACUGCAGAAGCUACAUAGCUCCUCAUUCUUCACUCUAUUUUCAUAAGCAAGAUGCAAAUGAUAAAGCAGCAAGCUGACAUUCAAGAAAGCAUGUUUCAGGGCAUAUCUUCCUGAGGUUGGUAUGCUUUCAUGCUGGCAGCUCAUAAUUUCUAGAAACACAGCAAAUCACCAUGAUUUGUGAUCAUUAAGCAACAGUUAGAUCGUGUUCCAAUUCCUCCAUUUGUGGGGCAGAAAAAUCGUGUCAUAUUUCAGAAAAAAAGAUGCCCAAAUAAAAGGUCAAAAUAAAAUUGGGUGCUUAAAAAUAUGAGUUAUUUAGCUGUCUCUGUAUUUAGCUGUCUCUGAAGUACAAAUAACCAGAAAAAUCAGGCCUUUUACUUGUGUAUUUUAUUAUAUUAUGAAUUCUUGUGUAGGCUUUGUAACGUUUAUAACAUAUUGGUACAGUGGUAUAGGCAUAAAAUCUACCUAUAAAUAAAGGUAUGCAUAUUAGCGGAGUUUGCUCUCACAAAGUUCCUUGAGCAAAAACUUAAAGCCCUAAUCUAGAAAACUAAGUUGUCCAGAUACCUUCUUCUCCCAC
RNAcentral lists this long non-coding RNA (2650 nucleotides) under Homo sapiens (human). RNAcentral's name for it is "non-protein coding lnc-F2RL2-1:2". Lineage: Eukaryota; Metazoa; Chordata; Mammalia; Primates; Hominidae. The record is from RNAcentral.